GUGGGGAAUUUUGGACAAUGGGCGAAAGCCUGAUCCAGCCAUGCCGCGUGCAGGAUGAAGGCCUUCGGGUUGUAAACUGCUUUUGUACGGAACGAAACGGUCCUGGCUAAUAUCCGGGGCUAAUGACGGUACCGUAAGAAUAAGCACCGGCUAACUACGUGCCAGCAGCCGCGGUAAUACGUAGGGUGCGAGCGUUAAUCGGAAUUACUGGGCGUAAAGCGUGCGCAGGCGGUGCUGUAAGACAGGCGUGAAAUCCCCGGGCUCAACCUGGGGAUUGUGCUUGUGGCUGCAGUGCGUGAGUGCAGCAGAGGGGGAUGGAAUUCCGCGUGUAGCAGUGAAAUGCGUAGAUAUGCGGAGGAACACCGAUGGCGAAGGCAAUCCCCUGGGCCUGCACUGACGCUCAUGCACGAAAGCGUGGGGAGCAAACAGGAUUAGAUACCCGGGUAGUCC
Molecule: ribosomal RNA, 450 nt
Filed under: uncultured bacterium
Lineage: Bacteria
Description: partial 16S ribosomal RNA
Rfam family: Bacterial small subunit ribosomal RNA
Source: RNAcentral